RNAcentral lists this long non-coding RNA (2464 nucleotides) under Helianthus annuus (common sunflower). Lineage: Eukaryota; Viridiplantae; Streptophyta; Magnoliopsida; Asterales; Asteraceae. The record is from RNAcentral.
AGAAAACACGGUGGUGAGAUUUAGAACCCGGGUAGAGAGAAGAGAGAGAUAGCGCUGAGAGACAGAUAGAGAGGCCGAUUACGAUGGUUCCGCCGGUGUUACAACCUUCUCGCCGGCGUCAAUAACACUUGACAACGACGUUUUGAUCAUUGUGGUGGCCGCGAACAUGGUUUGUAUCGGAGAGCGACGAGGUAUGUUCGAUCAGAUGCUGCCAUACCUCUGACAAUGACGACGGUCAAGCGGUUAGGGUUUCCAUCAACUUCCGGUAACGUCUGGUGAGGUUCCGGUGAACGGCAAGGAGAAGAUUUCAGUGAACGGGUGGAGUUAAGAAUUGAUGGUGGACCAAUGAAGAUUGAUCAGGUUUAGUUGGUAAGAGUGGGUCGAAAUGGAAGUUAUGGAGGAGUUCUUCGGUGGAAAUCGAUUCAGGUUGGAAAGGGUUUAAAGGGAAGUACAGGGGAGUGGGAUCAGAUGGGUCGCAUUCGAGAUAAUAUCCCCUGUGCAGAAAAGGCAACAAGCAUCAGGUUUCUAGGAUCUCCAUGGACUGAUGAUGAAGUUGAGCGCUUCUAUAAAGCUUAUAUGCAGUGUGAAAAAGACUGGAAGAAGGUUUGUGCUUUCUUUGUCCUCUUUUUUUUUGUGGUUAAACUACUCUUUGAGACCCACAAUACACUUGCACAUUUCAGGCUAUGUGCUACAUAGCUGCUUUUACAAUAAGGAAGUAUGAGUCGGUGACAUUAAUUACAAGUUUCUUAAUGUAUCUAAGAUGGAACUAUCGUAGUGUCUCAGUUUGGCUGUUACAGUUGUUCUCCAACAAAACAAGUCUCUUAUGUGGUUUGCACAGGUGGUUUGGUUCGGUUUUGAGCCCCAAUCGAUCCACAACUGACACCGAAUCCUUGAUGUAUUACUUGAACCAUGAACUUGGGUACUUCAUAAGCUAUUUUAGAUAGCCGCUAACAUACUCAUCUUUGCAUGAUCCAAUUAUACGUUACACUUUUAUACAAUAUGAUUCGACACAUAGAGGCUUAGUCUCACCUGUAAUUGUUUAGGUUGUUGGACUACCCAGGCCCCUCUACCCGAGCGUACUUAUGGGGGUUCCACAAGCACGUCGUUAUUUAUGGUUGUGUGUUCAAACAACACCAUUGCCACAUAUAGGGGCUGUUUAUAUUAUUAUAAAAAAAAAGAAUAGAAACUGGAAAAAAAAAAUUUACGGGUCAACCCAACCAAACCAAACCUACCCUUUUAACAUGUCACCAGGCUCACACGUUUUGCCACCUCUUUUCAUUUAAGGGUAGCAGAAAGCCAUCCUUUUUGUGCUACUAAAUGGAUUUUAUGUACAACUAAUAUCUUGGUCAUAUGUUGUUCAGAUGCAUAGAUCUUCAGACUUCAGAACCUGAUUUACUGUAAUUUGUGGAAUACACUAGAAUUAAGGAAAUGACAAACUUCAAAGACUGGCAUAUUUUUUAUAUUAACUGAACCAAUAUUUUUUUUGCUCUGGCCGAGUUGCAUACAUGCAGUAGAAAAAGGUAUAUGUGCUUGUAAGUUGUAUGUUUUCCAUUUCUAUUUUAACUUUGUAAGUUAUAAACUUAUGAUAAAUGAUUCUUCACAAAUUUCACUUGAUGCAAUUUAUGUUUGUAUUCGAACUUUUGGCAGGAGAGUGGGUUAGAGUUUAGAAAAGGUAAAGAGGAAAUUUGUUACCAAGAGGAAACACUUUUCCCAUAUUUUUCUCCUUUCUUCGCUUAUUUCGAGUAACAAGGUUAGGUUUAUAGGGUUUUAUUAUUCUCUUAGAAAUACACAUAAAACUAUUUUAAUAUCUUGAAUAAGGGCGUUAGAAAUUUUUAAAAUUUCCAAUUCGACGAACUGGUGGGUCGACAAGAACCCCAUGUAAUCAGGAUACUAAUUCUCGCAAUGCGCGCCAUAAAGAAGUUUUUUGAUUUGGGAUCCACUAUGAUUUGAAUAUACAAAUUUCAGCAAAUAACCAACUUUUAUCUAAAAUAUUUGUUAGAUGUUAGGAGUCGAUUAUUUGGUGUUAAAUUUAGAAGGUUUUGUUAAUUUUUGCAGUAUUUUGAGCUUUCUUGAUUCUCCAUUUGAAGAGAGCUAAGGAUUUGCACAGUUUGUGAGUUGAUUAAAUUGAGCAGUGACUAGUGACUGACUGGGGUUUUUGUUGAUUAUGAUUAGAAGAAUUGCCGUAUGGAGAGGCGAGAUUGAAUAGCUGAACUAACAUGGCGGAGUAAGAAGAUGCCAUACAGUUAAUGGUGCGCAAAUCAUAAACAGAAUAGGCGCAACAGGUUCUUCAUCAGCCCAGCUGCAGCAGGAGAAAACCUUGAGACCGUUUUUUUCGUUUAAAUGAUAAAUUGUAUGUGAAAACCAAAAUUGGUUAACGUUUGAUUAUUGUAUAUUAUAUAACAGUUAUUGAAUACUUUGUUGUUUUAUAUGUGUGGUGCUCCUGAAUAACUUUUGUUGGACGCCU